GUGGGGAAUUUUGCGCAAUGGGGGCAACCCUGACGCAGCGACACAGCGUGGAGGAGGAAGGUCUUCGGAUUGUAAACUCCUUUUAUAUGGGAAGAAUAGAUGACUGUACCAUAUGAAUAAGCACCUGCUAACUACGUGCCAGAAGCAUCGGUGAUGCGUAGGGUGCGAACGUUAUCCGGAUUUAUUGGGCGUAAAGAGAUGCGUAGGCGUUUCAGUUAGUCUUUCGUUAAAAGUCACGGCUUAACCGUGAAGAUGCGUUGGAUACUGCUGAAAUUGAGACAUGAAGGGGUGAACGGAACUCCAAGUGGAGCGGUGAAAUGCGUUGAUAUUUGGAAGAACAUCAGAGGCGAAGGCGGUUCACUGGUCAUUGUCUGACGCUAAGGCUCGAAAGCGUGGGUAGCAAAACGGAUUAGAAACCCCGGUAGUCC
Molecule: ribosomal RNA, 428 nt
Filed under: uncultured bacterium
Lineage: Bacteria
Description: partial 16S ribosomal RNA
Rfam family: Bacterial small subunit ribosomal RNA
Source: RNAcentral